RNAcentral lists this unclassified non-coding RNA (279 nucleotides) under Hevea brasiliensis (rubber tree). Lineage: Eukaryota; Viridiplantae; Streptophyta; Magnoliopsida; Malpighiales; Euphorbiaceae. The record is from RNAcentral.
GAAAAAGUUAUGGAUAAGGAGAUCGAUGCUCAGAAUCAGAGAGUUGUAGAGACAGUAAUUACAAUCAGAUUGGAUGAAACUGUUGAAAAUAGGGACUCUGGGAUUGGUGGGAAUGAGGUGAAAGGGAAGGUUUUGAAGAAAGAGAGUUUUUCAAGUGUGAUUGAUGUGAAAUAUGUUGAUGAUUUCGAAAAGGUGUGUAGGAUAUGCCAUUUGGAUACAUAUGAAAGUGGGAAGAAAUUUGUGGAUUUGAUUGAGAUUGGUUGUGGGUGUAAAGGGGAG